GGAAGGGCCAGUCUUACUUUCACCAUGCUCACCCCAACAGCACUGAGUCUGUUUCCAGGCAGUGAACAAGCAGGGCUGAGAACUUGCUCCAGAGUACCCACCUCCCAGCUGCAAAGCAAAUAAAGCUUUCCUUCUUUCCCCACCUGUGGAAUCUGCAAGCCAGCUUCACCCCUCCCAUCGAGUUCUGGUCAGGAGGCUUCUGGUUGAGUUCAAAUUGCUAUAAAGUUCAGCUGGAGCCUUCCUUCUCCCUGUGGCCUUUUCCCAGUACCUCUGGCCACCCUCCCGAAGGACCUUUGUAAGGCCAGGCAAAAAUGGCUUGCUAGGGGACCCAGUGAUCUCCCAGGGCUUUUUCCAACUGCUUCCUCUUCCCCUAUAUUUUGCUUGGCUCUCUAAAUCGACUCAGCUCCAGAGGGUCUCCCUCUGUUGCCCAGGCUGGAGGACAGUGGUAUAAUCAUAGCUAACUGCAGCUUUGAACUCCUGAGAACAGCAAUCCUCCUUCCUCGGUCUUCCGCAGCAUUGGGAUUACAGGUCCUGAAGAAAAUGAAGUUGAUGUUUCAGUGAGACACCUGUAUGCCAGAGAGUAAAAGGGAUUAUUGUGGAUUCCUGAGAAUUUUCUACAUAUGAAAUCAUGUCAUCUAUGAACAGAGAUGGGACUGUCUCGUUGGAGGAAAACAAGCUCAGGGCUCCCACUGAUUCCACAUUAUGAAUAGAAAUUAUCAGCCCGAGAAUGAGAUGUCCCUAAUGCAUAAAGAGUUCUGCUAAGGAAAUGAAGCAUGUUCUUCAAGCAAGAAAGAAACUCUUUUCUGGAUUACAGUUAUUCUGACAGCCACAGGCCUCACAGAACUAGCAUAGCCAAGAUUU
This 861-nucleotide long non-coding RNA is filed under the name Homo sapiens (human). RNAcentral describes it as "HSALNT0210091". The record is from RNAcentral. Lineage: Eukaryota; Metazoa; Chordata; Mammalia; Primates; Hominidae.